Octopus bimaculoides (California two-spot octopus) is the source of this 1221-nucleotide RNA transcript. It is a transcript of the gene named ras-related protein Rab-22A, with no coding region annotated. Lineage: Eukaryota; Metazoa; Mollusca; Cephalopoda; Octopoda; Octopodidae. The record is from RefSeq and is a predicted model, not a curated record.
ACAGUAACUAGCUAACUUCCUGUCACCUGAUUAUUAGCAAAGAUGGCCAGCGCCUGUUACAUACGGUAGUGGACUGUUGUGGUUUUGUUUACGUUUAAAUGCUGUUUAUGGUAACACACCAAUGGUGACCUCCCUAUGUAGGGAUAUGCUUAUUAGCAAUGUGGUACUGCCUGUUACGUGUAUAGCCUAGCAUACAGACUACAACUGUGGACUUGUUAUAAAUGUGAAACACGCCCUGCAGGAAGACAACACAACAAAGAAUAAAUACAACGCUCUUCAGAUGGCUUUGAGAGACGUGAAGAUUUGUUUGCUCGGUGACAGUGGUGUCGGAAAGACAAGCAUUGUCUGGCGUUUUGUGACAAAUACUUUCCGCGAGAAUCCAGGCAGCACAAUUGGCGCUUCUUUCAUGGUAAAAAAUUUAGUGUUGGACAGCAAAACAUUCCGAUUCCAAAUCUGGGAUACAGCAGGACAAGAGAAAUACCAUGCUUUAGCACCCAUGUACUUUCGCGGUGCAGCUGCUGCUAUUGUGGUGUAUGAUAUUACGAAGGAAUCAUCAUACAGAUCUGCUAAGGAGUGGGUGAAAAGAUUACGGAAACAUGGUGUCACUGACGCAGUUAUUGCUCUUGCAGGAAAUAAAUGUGAUGCCGAGGAUCUUCGAGAGGUGUCUGCUAAAGAUGCCCAAGCUUACGCUGACUCUAUACAGGCUAUUUUCGUGGAAACUAGUGCCUUGGUUGCUGUAAAUAUUCCCGAAUUGUUCACAUCCAUUGCUCAAAGACUGCCACCAAUCAACGACAACACUGUAGAUAAUGACAACACAGUGAAUAUGACCAGUCGAACAUCGACUAAAUCUUGUUGUUUCUCUUCCUCCGGCUCGUCGACAGCCAAAAACUGCCUUGAUGAUAGAAAUCACCAGGUUUUGAUUUGAAGAAUUCAUCAAGCCACAUAUUCAGCUCCACAUCAUUGUUGAACAAAAUGCCAUGCAGACUGUUGGAGAGCUAUCAGAAAAGGUGAUAAUCUUAAGGUGCUGUACUAAAAGAAUAUGAAAAGUACAAUAGAAGCCAUUCUAAAAGAUGUAUAUUAAAAAGACAAAGUGAACAAUAGAUCAACAUUUUGCUGUAUUGGAAAUCUCUCUGCCUUGAGAGAAAAUCCUUGAAAUAAUCAAGAAGCUAUUACAUAGAUUAUUAUUAUUUGACUGUUAAAAUAAAAAUAUGUGAACUAUUA